Molecule: ribosomal RNA, 255 nt
Filed under: uncultured Actinomycetes bacterium
Lineage: Bacteria; Bacillati; Actinomycetota; Actinomycetes
Description: uncultured actinobacterium partial 16S ribosomal RNA
Rfam family: Bacterial small subunit ribosomal RNA
Source: RNAcentral
GACGAACGCUGGCGGCGUGCUUAACACAUGCAAGUCGAGCGGGGUCCAACCUGUCGCAAGACAGGGAAAGACCUAGCGGCGAACGGGUGAGUAACACGUGAGGAACCUGCCCCGAAGACCGGGAUAACACCGGGAAACCGGUGCUAAUACCGGAUGCCCUCAGAGAAUCGCAUGGUUCAUUGAGGAAAUGGAUUCCGCUUCGGGAGGUCUCGCGGCCUAUCAGCUUGUUGGUGGGGUAACGGCCUACCAAGGCUC